RNAcentral lists this ribosomal RNA (586 nucleotides) under Lactarius benghalensis. RNAcentral's name for it is "partial large subunit ribosomal RNA". It matches the Rfam family "Eukaryotic large subunit ribosomal RNA", at positions 88 to 648 of the family's 3401-position model. Lineage: Eukaryota; Fungi; Basidiomycota; Agaricomycetes; Russulales; Russulaceae. The record is from RNAcentral.
UGCGAGUGAAGCGGGAAAAGCUCAAAUUUAAAAUCUGGCGGUCCUUGGCCGUCCGAGUUGUAAUUUAGAGAAGCGUCUUCCGCGCCGGACCGUGCACAAGUCUCCUGGAAUGGAGCGUCGUAGAGGGUGAGAAUCCCGUCUUUGGCACGGACGCCCGGUGCUUCUGUGAUGCGCUCUCGAAGAGUCGAGUUGUUUGGGAAUGCAGCUCAAAAUGGGUGGUGAACUCCAUCUAAAGCUAAAUAUUGGCGAGAGACCGAUAGCGAACAAGUACCGUGAGGGAAAGAUGAAAAGCACUUUGGAAAGAGAGUGAAACAGUACGUGAAAUUGUUGAAAGGGAAACGCUUGAAGUCAGUCGCGUCGACCGAGACUCAGCCUCGCCUUGGCUUGGUGUACUUCUCGGACCGACGGGUCAGCAUCGAUUUCGCCCCUCGGAUAAUGGCAAGGGAAAGGUGGCACCUUUGCGGGUGUGUUAUAGUCUCCUGUCGCACGCGAGGGGUGAGAUCGAGGAACUCAGCGUGCGCCUCUGGUGUCGGGGCUUCGGCCCACGUAACGCGCUUAGGAUGCUGGCGUAAUGGCUAUAAACGAC